RNAcentral lists this ribosomal RNA (160 nucleotides) under Carnobacterium maltaromaticum. Its description in RNAcentral is "partial 23S ribosomal RNA". It matches the Rfam family "Bacterial large subunit ribosomal RNA", at positions 1 to 160 of the family's 2925-position model. The record is from RNAcentral. Lineage: Bacteria; Bacillati; Bacillota; Bacilli; Lactobacillales; Carnobacteriaceae.
GGUUAAGUUAAUAAGGGCGCACGGUGGAUGCCUUGGCACUAAGAGCCGAUGAAGGACGGGACUAACUCCGAUAUGCUUUGGGGAGCUGUAAGUAAGCUUUGAUCCAAAGAUUUCCGAAUGGGGGAACCCAGCAUUUUUUAUAGAAUGUUACUGCUAGCUG